GAAGCCAAGGGUGACGGAGCCUUAUAUUUCAUGGACCGGAUCUGGACACCGAAACACGGUGGUUUCCGAGACUUGGUCAUGACCGAGGCGCACAACACUCGGUAUUCCGUCCACCCAGGUUCAGAUAAGAUGUAUCUGGAUCUUAAAAAGCUAUACUGGUGGCCUAAUAUGAAAGCAGAGAUUGCUACCUUCGUAAGUAAAUGCCUUACUUGCGCAAAGGUUAAGGUCGAGUACCAGAAGCCCUCUGGUUUACUGCAACAACCAGAGAUUCCAGAAUGGAAGUGGGAGCGGAUCACUAUGGAUUUCAUAACCAAGUUGCCCAAGACAACGGGUGGACUUGAUACCAUAUGGGUCAUCGUUGAUAGAUUGACCAAGUCUGCACACUUCCUGCCUAUCAAAGAAACCGACAAGAUGGAGAAACUUACGAGAACAUACAUUAGGGAAAUUGUACGGCUACAUGGUGUACCUAUGUCCAUUAUCUCCGAUAGAGAUAGUAGGUUCACCUCAAGAUUUUGGCAAUCACUACAACAUUCCCUAGGAACAAGGCUGGACAUGAGCACAGCCUACCAUCCACAGACCGACGGACAGAGUGAGAGGACAAUCCAGACUUUAGAAGAUAUGUUGCGUGCUUGUGUAAUUGACUUUGGAAAAGCGUGGGAUACCCAUUUACCCCUCGUCGAAUUUUCCUACAACAACAGUUAUCACACGAGCAUAAAGGCAGCACCAUUCGAAGCCCUCUACGGUCGAAAGUGCAGAUCCCCUCUGUGCUGGGCUGAGGUGGGUGAUACCCAAUUAGCUAGGGGGCAAGCUUCUGACAGUACUCUCACUGGUCCGGAAAUCAUUUGGGAAACGACAGAGAAGAUCGUUCAGAUUGAUGAACGCUUGAAAGCCUCUAGAGACCGACAAAAGAGCUAUGCUGAUAAACGGAGAAAACCUUUGGAAUUUCAGGUGGGAGGCCGAGUCCUUCUUAAAGUCUCACCCUGGAAGGGCUUGAUACGCUUCGGUAAGCGUGGGAAGCUUAAUCCUAGGUACAUAGGGCCUUUCGAGAUUCUCGCAAGAGUCGGCCCCGUAGCUUACAAACUCGAUCUACCCGACACACUUCAUAAUGUACAUUCUACAUUCCACGUAUCUAACUUGAAAAAGUGUCUGUCCGACGAGACUCUCGUAAUCCCACUCGACGAGAUCGAGAUCAAUGAGAGCCUCAACUUCGUGGAAGAACCUGUAGAGAUCAUGGACCGUGAGGUCAAGCAGACGAAGCAAAGCCGUAUCCCUAUCGUGAAGGUUCGCUGGAACACCAAGCGAGGACCGGAAUUCACUUGGGAAUGCGAGGAUCAGAUGCAACUGAAAUACCCUCAUCUUUUCGCUUAGUUAUUUGUAACUUCUUAUUUGCUUAAACUCUAAUUUCGGGAUGAAAUUCCUUCUAACGGGGGGAUGAUGUGACAACCCGAAAUUUCCAUUUGUACGAACAUUAUCUAUUUAAUACAAGCUAGUCCAGUUUCAGUGAUUUUCAGACUUGUCCGAACAAGUUUGUGUACAUUAGGGUUUACGUUUCUAGAUAUAUCAGGAGAGUGGAUACUCCUGUGUUUGUGAAACUUGAACAUUCCAAGUUUCAUAAUGUUAUAGUCCAACUUCCGGAAUAAAAAUAUUUUCUGUCAAUAUAUUUCAGGACUAUAAAUAGAUUUCUGAAUUUAAUUAAUUCAUUAUUCACAAUUCCAACUAGAGAAAAGCCAUUUCUCUCUGACGGAUCUCCAGGUUUUCAUCCCGGAUUGUGCGUCUACUUUCCUAAAUGUGUUUUAAUGUUUGUUAUAUGCUUUAUAACAUUGUUUACAUGUCCAAAACACAAGAUCCGGGAGCUUACGGCCCAAGAACGUUCUUGGGUGUAAACUCCAAGUAAAGGCACAAAUGUGUGCCUAAUGUCCCCUUUAGCCUUAGAAAAAACAUGGAAGCUAUCCUACAUGUGCAAGUGCCUCAAAUGAAUUAAAACCAACACCCCAUAGGAGUUUACGGCCGUAAACUCAAGGGGAUAUGGUCCUUUGGUCGUAAACUCCCCAAAGGAGCAUUCCAAGGCCUUAAACUACUUCAAGGAUUAUUCCAACAAGGCUAGGCUUAUUCUAGGAUCAAGAUAGCACUUCAAAACAACCAAAACCACCAAGUGUGGAGUUCACGGCCGUAAACUCAUGGGUUCACGGCCUUAGAUAAAAACAUGGAAGCUAUCCUACAUGUGCAAAUGCCUCAAAUGAAUUAAAACCAACACCCCAUAGGAGUUUACGGCCGUAAACUCUAGGGGAUAUGGUCCUUUGGCCGUAAACUCCCCAAAGGAGCAUUCCAAGGCCUUAAACUACUUCAAGGAUUAUUCCAACAAGGCUAGGCUUAUUCUAGGAUCAAGAUAGCACUUCAAAACACCCAAAACCACCAAGUGAGGAGUUCACGGCCGUAAACUCAUGGGUUCACAGCCGGAAACUCCAAAGGGUGGCGUUUUUUGGGUGGUGAACUCAUAUACAAGGUCAUUGGUGCAUUAAACCCCUUUUGCCUUGUCCCGUAUCAACUUAGAUGCAACCAUUAGGACCUAUAACACUUAUAUAAAGUGUUUACAUGUUCCUAAGUGUCUCAACUUACUUUGUUAAGUUAUUAUUUGGCUAAUUAGUUAUAUAUAUGUUUAUUAUAUGAUAACUAGGCUCGAACGUGUGAACAAGUCUCUGUUUGCCACCUAGCACAGUACCCGAUACAUCAAUCAAAUCUACUCACCACAAGUGAGUUCAUACAUCUUUAAUCAACCUUUGAAAUACUUUUAAAUGUUUUAAAUACUUUAUGGGGGGAUACAAGUUAAAUACUUAUAGUUAUUGCAUCAAUCACAUGUGAUUGCAUUAAUCACAUGUGAUUAAUAACUAGAAAACCAAUGAUUUCAUCACUGUUCAAACUAUUUAUCAAACUGUUUUACUUCAAAAUCUUUUACAAACUCUUUUACUUAUCAAAUCCUUUUAUUAAACUUUGUUUUACUUCUUAUAAAUUACAUGCCCAUAUAUGUAUAGAUAUAUAAGUAAUGUUUAAAGGGCUUAGGAAGGCCAUCCGCCCUAUUUCCUUUUCGCGCACUGAGAUGUGGUCUAGUGGGAUUUCGGGUGACCAUCCGAAGGUCGUUUCAAUAUUAGUUAUAUAUCAUAUAUACAUGUAUAGACAUAAAAGUACUUCCAGAUUCAUACUUAUCAGUACAUCAAUAGCUAGUUACCAUCGGGGUAACACAGAACAUAUACAAUUAUACUAGAAACAGUACAUAUACAAUUAUACUAGAAACAGUACAUAUACAACUAUACUAGAACCAGUACAUAUACAACUAUACUAGAACGAGAAACAUUACAUAUACAUGAACACGUUAACAAUUGUGAUCCACUGUGUCGGAGCAUGCCUUAAAUGUCAUGGCCCGAGUUGUAGCCAAAAUUCUCUUGGAGGGAGAGCAUGACUACAGCCGGACCUGCAGGUCUGCGGGUGCCAAACGUCAUUUCUUUUAUUACGACCAUUCAUUAUGUCGUUGUUACCAGUCGAUAGCAUGGUGCAAUUUAUCACAUUAUGCCUUAAUAUAAAUCCGGGUUAAGGUAGUUAGAACAACAUUAGUUCUUAUCAUACAAAACUACAGUACUACAAUGAUUUACCCAUUACAUAUUUUAGUGAUAACCUCACUUGAACGUUAAUGUACAAACUAUAUUUUGUUAAAUGAUAGUUACACUUGGGAAAUUACACACUUUUACAUCAAACGAACGUACAAAACUGUUAAGCCAUGGUAGAAGGUUACUUUAAUAGAAAAUAUAGGUUUUUCUGAGAGAUCCACACUUUUACAAACACUUUCAAACACUUACUUACAUUUUUACAAAUUUCUACAUUGAGACAGGUUCAAACGUUUUGGCAACAAACAUUGACACUAAAAUACUUAUGAACUCAGCAGCUUAAUGCUGAUAAUCUCUUUUAAAAUACCUUGUAUUCUCAGGUCAUCAGUAGACAGGUACCAAGGCCAGCUUUUGAGAAGACGGAGCACAUCCAAGACUCAUCUUAUUAUUUUGAUAUACAUUAUUUUUGGUAUCUAUACUGUACAUAACACGCUUGUAUUAAAAUUAUAUAUUUAAUGCAAUGGAUGAUUUUGUUUGCUUAUUUACAUUUACUGUGUUGUGAUACUUUACAUGACGUCCUCUGCCCCAGAACGUUUCCGCCGUUCUUGAUUUUGGGGUGUGACACUUUUGAUGAUUUUCUUGAGGAAGUAGUACAGGAAAUUGAGCAAGAAGAUGAGGAGUAUGGCUCAGAUGAUGAUUUAAUGGAAUUUGGAAGAUGGUUAGAUAACAUCUUGCCUAACACACCAGAGCAAUCUGAGUCAUAAGAGUUGGAGUUAAAAGAUGAAGAUUUUAAUCCAGAAAGAGAUUUGGAGGAACUGGAAAGAUUUCUAGCAGAGGGGUCAGAUGAAGAACAAGAACAAGCUAAGUUAUAGGAACCAAGCUGUGGUUUGAUCAUUACCACGAUGUGGCCCCCUAUUCUUUCGGUUUGUGAUUCGAAGCAUGGGGUGACGACUCCAACGUUGGAGAAUGUUCUGAAGCACGAUCAAUUUCCGAUUAGUACCCGACCGGUUCCAACCAUUAUUAAGAUUUUUGGGUUACAUGAACUAAAACCCGUUUGGCCAAUUUUUGAAGCAAAGAGCCAAAUUUUACAAAUUGGUCCACCAAAGAAGAUAUUAAGUGAAAUGGAUGGAUUGGCAUUGAGUUUAUUGGAAGUUUAUUAAGUUGAGAGUCCAGCUAAAGACUCGCACAAAAUGAAGCGCUUGCGGGAGGCAACCUGUCAUUAGAGUUUGCUUUUCUUUUUCUUUCUAAACUUCUAGUAUUUAGGGAUAAUUUAGGAUUUUUAUUUUGAUUUUUUUUAUUAUUAUUACUUGGUAUUUGUUUUUGAUCUUUUUCAGUUUAAUUGUAAGGAUUGCAUGCGAGAUUCAAGAGUCAAGGAUAACCAAGGGAAAAAUCGAGUCUAUGCGAGAGAGAAAACGAAGUUCUGCGGACUUGGAAAAGAAACAUUUUUUUCCAUACAACGAUGGACUUGGCAAGUGCACUUACUUACUUGACGAGUCCUAAUAUAAAAACUCGACUUCUUCCAGUAUUACGCUACAACUCGGCAAGCCACCCUACAAACUCGUCGAGUUGAUCCUUUUUUUGUCUCUCAAGCUGAUGUUUUGAUAAUAUUUGAUACGGAAAUUGGAUACAUUUUUUAAGAAAAUUUUCCGAGGGUUUCCGAGAGUUUUUUUCCGUCUAUAUUUGGAGCUAUACCACAUGAGAUUUGAUGCCUGAGGCAUGGAUAAGCUGUUCCCAUGUCUAAAGUCAGCUGAAGAUGGAGCUUUCAAUGAAGAAUUUCAACCUUGCAACUAUUAUCCCAGGGGAGUUCUUUCUAAGUCUCUCUUUACUAUUAUGUUAGUUUUGAUGCAUAACAUGCAAUGGGGACAUUGCAUGAAUUAAGUGUGGAGUAGGGGGUUGGUUACUUUAGGAAACUUAGAAUCUUAAUUUAGGCUUAAUUUUUAAAAAAGAAAAUUGCAUUAAAAAUUGCUAGGACUUAACUUCGAAAACCUUGUUAAAAAGCUAUUAGGAUUCAAUGCUAGUAUUGUGUUUGAUGAUUUUAUGAGGACCCAAAUGUUUAGUUGAGCCUAUAUACGUUAUAAUGCAUUUGUGGCCCCCUUUAUUCUAGUGAAAUCAUGGGACAAAAACACAACCUUGCUUAGUUUGAAGAUCGCAAUAUGUUUAGCAUCGUGUACCUGAAAUGUAUCCAGGAAAGCUUAUUUAGUCAUUGCACAUUAGACUAAUACCUUAACCAAUAAGGGUUGAAGUUAAGCUCCCUUGUUUAAUCAUGUAGGUUUUGAGUGAAAAAAAGUGACAUACAUGUUUAAAAAAAAAAAGAGGGAGCGAAUUACAAGUCUUAUUUAACCCGAAUAAAUAAUCGAGAGAAUUAAUUAAUUUAGACAAUUGGCCACUGUUUGAGUUAGUUUAUUUUCUAAGGAUUAGUGAUAGCGAAUGUGAACCUAAUCACCUUAAUCGGUAAGCAAUAGAAGAGUUAAUCCGUUGCACUAUUACCGUAAAAUCAACCAUAGGAUCAAUUGAGUCGAACUUGAACAGAAGUCCCUUUAGAUAUUGAAUUUGGUUGGUCUUUGCUUGCUUAGUUGCUAGUUAGUAAUUUAGUUUAAGAGUUAGUAAGUUUCUAGUCUUGUAAAACUAUAGAAACCCCCUUCUUUUACUAUCUGUUAGUUCUUUUUAGAUAAUUCUAGUAAUUAGUUUAAUUUUCGUUCCCUGAGUUCGAUACCCUGCUUACUAAAUCUAUACCACCAAUAGGAAGGUCCACUGCCUUUUGUGUGAUUAAUUUACAUUUUAGAAGUAUGAUUAAAACUAGUUGGUUUUACAUACAUCAGGAGUCUUUGCCCUCUCGCAAUGGUUUGAGAAGACAGAGUCAGUCUUCGAAUUGGUGGACCUGUGUCCCAGUAUGCUUCCCAUAGAGGGUAGGAAAAUAGAGAGAUACAUAUGGGGGUUGGUGCCUGCAUUCCAGGGAAAUGUCCUCUCUUCAAACCCUGCUACCUUCGAUAGUGCCAAACGAUUGGCACAACGACUCAUAGAUCAUGGAGUCCCUACCCCGUCAGCAACAACCCUAGCCAUCUCAGGACCUUCCAAAGCCGCUGAUAUCAAGCGGAAGUUCUGGGAUGACAAGAAGAAGCAGAAAGCUGCUAAAAAGCAGAGCGUGGUGGCAGUACAUGCUACGAUAACAUGUGACAACCGUCAAUUUUCAGUCAAUUCAAAGUCAACGAAAGUCAACAAGUCAAACCGGUCCACUCAUUUUGCCGUAACUCCUAAACAACUCUCUAUUCUAACGAGAGAUCCUAAAUCAAAAAGUGCGUACACCUAGAUCUCCUUAACCUAAAACGGAGGUACGUGGCGAGCCAAACCGAUAAAACAAUGUUGCAUACUCAUCGGGAGUAUGCAAGAUCCUUAAACAAGGCGUAACAGGACUUACGGACCCUGCAUUGCAAAGCCGAACACUCAAAAAGGUCAGCAAUGAAACCUCUCUCAAUCGUUUUCACUCUAUCUCUUCUUAUGUCAAAUCUCUCCCAAAUCUCUCUAAGUAUGUGAAAUCUCUCCCACAUAUCUCUCUGUAUGUGAAAUCUCUCCAAGUAUGUCAAAUCUCUCCCAAAUAUCUCUAAGUAUGUGAAAUCUCUCCCAAAUAUCUCUCUGUAUGUGAAAUCUCUCCAAGUAUGUCAAAUCUCUCCCAAAUCUCUCUAAGUAUGUGAAAUCUCUCCCACAUAUCUCUCUGUAUGUGAAAUCUCUCCAAGUAUGUCAAAUAUCUCCCAAAUCUCUCUAAGUAUGUGAAAUCUCUCCCACAUAUCUCUUUGUAUGUGAAAUCUCUCCAAGUAUGUCAAAUCUCUCCCAAAUCUCUCUAAGUAUGUGAAAUCUCUCCCACAUAUCUCUUUGUAUGUGAAAUCUCUCCAAGUAUGUCAAAUCUCUCCCAAAUCUCUCUAAGUAUGUGAAAUCUCUCCCACAUAUCUCUUUGUAUGUGAAAUCUCUCCAAGUAUGUCAAAUCUCUCCCAAAUCUCUCUAAGUAUGUGAAAUCUCUCCCACAUAUCUCUUUGUAUGUGAAAUCUCUCCAAGUAUGUCAAAUCUCUCCCAAAUCUCUCUAAGUAUGUGAAAUCUCUCCCACAUAUCUCUUUGUAUGUGAAAUCUCUCCAAGUAUGUCAAAUCUCUCCCAAAUCUCUCUAAGUAUGUGAAAUCUCUCCCACAUAUCUCUUUGUAUGUGAAAUCUCUCCAAGUAUGUCAAAUCUCUCCCAAAUCUCUCUAAGUAUGUGAAAUCUCUCCCACAUAUCUCUUUGUAUGUGAAAUCUCUCCAAGUAUGUCAAAUCUCUCCCAAAUCUCUCUAAGUAUGUGAAAUCUCUCCCACAUAUCUCUUUGUAUGUGAAAUCUCUCCAAGUAUGUCAAAUCUCUCCCAAAUCUCUCUAAGUAUGUGAAAUCUCUCCCACAUAUCUCUUUGUAUGUGAAAUCUCUCCAAGUAUGUCAAAUCUCUCCCAAAUCUCUCUAAGUAUGUGAAAUCUCUCCCACAUAUCUCUUUGUAUGUGAAAUCUCUCCAAGUAUGUCAAAUCUCUCCCAAAUCUCUCUAAGUAUGUGAAAUCUCUCCCACAUAUCUCUUUGUAUGUGAAAUCUCUCCAAGUAUGUCAAAUCUCUCCCAAAUCUCUCUAAGUAUGUGAAAUCUCUCCCACAUAUCUCUUUGUAUGUGAAAUCUCUCCAAGUAUGUCAAAUCUCUCCCAAAUCUCUCUAAGUAUGUGAAAUCUCUCCCACAUAUCUCUUUGUAUGUGAAAUCUCUCCAAGUAUGUCAAAUCUCUCCCAAAUCUCUCUAAGUAUGUGAAAUCUCUCCCACAUAUCUCUUUGUAUGUGAAAUCUCUCCAAGUAUGUCAAAUCUCUCCCAAAUCUCUCUAAGUAUGUGAAAUCUCUCCCACAUAUCUCUUUGUAUGUGAAAUCUCUCCAAGUAUGUCAAAUCUCUCCCAAAUCUCUCUAAGUAUGUGAAAUCUCUCCCACAUAUCUCUUUGUAUGUGAAAUCUCUCCAAGUAUGUCAAAUCUCUCCCAAAUCUCUCUAAGUAUGUGAAAUCUCUCCCACAUAUCUCUUUGUAUGUGAAAUCUCUCCAAGUAUGUCAAAUCUCUCCCAAAUCUCUCUAAGUAUGUGAAAUCUCUCCCACAUAUCUCUUUGUAUGUGAAAUCUCUCCAAGUAUGUCAAAUCUCUCCCAAAUCUCUCUAAGUAUGUGAAAUCUCUCCCACAUAUCUCUUUGUAUGUGAAAUCUCUCCAAGUAUGUCAAAUCUCUCCCAAAUCUCUCUAAGUAUGUGAAAUCUCUCCCACAUAUCUCUUUGUAUGUGAAAUCUCUCCAAGUAUGUCAAAUCUCUCCCAAAUCUCUCUAAGUAUGUGAAAUCUCUCCCACAUAUCUCUUUGUAUGUGAAAUCUCUCCAAGUAUGUCAAAUCUCUCCCAAAUCUCUCUAAGUAUGUGAAAUCUCUCCCACAUAUCUCUUUGUAUGUGAAAUCUCUCCAAGUAUGUCAAAUCUCUCCCAAAUCUCUCUAAGUAUGUGAAAUCUCUCCCACAUAUCUCUUUGUAUGUGAAAUCUCUCCAAGUAUGUCAAAUCUCUCCCAAAUCUCUCUAAGUAUGUGAAAUCUCUCCCACAUAUCUCUUUGUAUGUGAAAUCUCUCCAAGUAUGUCAAAUCUCUCCCAAAUCUCUCUAAGUAUGUGAAAUCUCUCCCACAUAUCUCUUUGUAUGUGAAAUCUCUCCAAGUAUGUCAAAUCUCUCCCAAAUCUCUCUAAGUAUGUGAAAUCUCUCCCACAUAUCUCUUUGUAUGUGAAAUCUCUCCAAGUAUGUCAAAUCUCUCCCAAAUCUCUCUAAGUAUGUGAAAUCUCUCCCACAUAUCUCUUUGUAUGUGAAAUCUCUCCAAGUAUGUCAAAUCUCUCCCAAAUCUCUCUAAGUAUGUGAAAUCUCUCCCACAUAUCUCUUUGUAUGUGAAAUCUCUCCAAGUAUGUCAAAUCUCUCCCAAAUCUCUCUAAGUAUGUGAAAUCUCUCCCACAUAUCUCUUUGUAUGUGAAAUCUCUCCAAGUAUGUCAAAUCUCUCCCAAAUCUCUCUAAGUAUGUGAAAUCUCUCCCACAUAUCUCUUUGUAUGUGAAAUCUCUCCAAGUAUGUCAAAUCUCUCCCAAAUCUCUCUAAGUAUGUGAAAUCUCUCCCACAUAUCUCUUUGUAUGUGAAAUCUCUCCAAGUAUGUCAAAUCUCUCCCAAAUCUCUCUAAGUAUGUGAAAUCUCUCCCACAUAUCUCUUUGUAUGUGAAAUCUCUCCAAGUAUGUCAAAUCUCUCCCAAAUCUCUCUAAGUAUGUGAAAUCUCUCCCACAUAUCUCUUUGUAUGUGAAAUCUCUCCAAGUAUGUCAAAUCUCUCCCAAAUCUCUCUAAGUAUGUGAAAUCUCUCCCACAUAUCUCUUUGUAUGUGAAAUCUCUCCAAGUAUGUCAAAUCUCUCCCAAAUCUCUCUAAGUAUGUGAAAUCUCUCCCACAUAUCUCUUUGUAUGUGAAAUCUCUCCAAGUAUGUCAAAUCUCUCCCAAAUCUCUCUAAGUAUGUGAAAUCUCUCCCACAUAUCUCUUUGUAUGUGAAAUCUCUCCAAGUAUGUCAAAUCUCUCCCAAAUCUCUCUAAGUAUGUGAAAUCUCUCCCACAUAUCUCUUUGUAUGUGAAAUCUCUCCAAGUAUGUCAAAUCUCUCCCAAAUCUCUCUAAGUAUGUGAAAUCUCUCCCACAUAUCUCUUUGUAUGUGAAAUCUCUCCAAGUAUGUCAAAUCUCUCCCAAAUCUCUCUAAGUAUGUGAAAUCUCUCCCACAUAUCUCUUUGUAUGUGAAAUCUCUCCAAGUAUGUCAAAUCUCUCCCAAAUCUCUCUAAGUAUGUGAAAUCUCUCCCACAUAUCUCUUUGUAUGUGAAAUCUCUCCAAGUAUGUCAAAUCUCUCCCAAAUCUCUCUAAGUAUGUGAAAUCUCUCCCACAUAUCUCUCUGUAUGUGAAAUCUCUCCAAGUAUGUCAAAUAUCUCCCAAAUCUCUCUAAGUAUGUGAAAUCUCUCCCACAUAUCUCUUUGUAUGUGAAAUCUCUCCAAGUAUGUCAAAAUAUCUCCCAAAUCUCUCUAAGUAUGUGAAAUCUCUCUCAAAUCUCUCUCAAAUCUCUCUCGAAAUCUCUCAAAACUUUCUAUAAUGACUCGGGGCAUCCCGACCCUCGAAUUUGGUGAAAACAACCCAAAAACGGAAGUCUACGCGAAAAACGGACUUAAGGAAACGAACCCUCCGAACCGAAAGUACUAUUCAUGAACCGAACCGAAAGUACUAUUCAUGAAGGUCCGAACCGAGAGUACUGUUCAUGAACCGAACCGAAGCUGCUGACCCAUGAACCGAACCGAAGUCACUGUUCAUCCGAGCCGAAUCGCGCAUAGAAGGAAGGUCCGAACCGAACCUCGCAUAGAAGGAAGGUCCGAACCGAAAGUACUGUUCAUUACUGUUCACAACAGUCCCUUCGGUUCUAGCAUCACUUCGGACCGAACCCCUGACUUUCGCUUCUGACUCCUCAUCGGACCGAGCCUUCGGACGAACCCCGCCUUCGCUCCUUCUUCUGGCUCGCGCCUUCGCUUCCGAGACCAGCACCUCCCCUGACCGAACCUCGGCCGAGAUCCGAAGGGUCUCGCUGGAAAGUUCAUUUUUCACCCGUUUUUGCGUAUUUUUGCGUUUUAAACCCAUUUUUAAUUAUUUUAACAUGGGAUUUUCACCCAAAACUUUAUUUUAAAAUAUAAGACCCCUAAAUUAAUAAUUUAAUCAUAUUUUAAGGGUAAAAUCUUAUCCAAAUAAGAGUAGGUAAAGUACAAAGGUAGAGUGUUGACUUUACCUUAUUUUAUGACGCAAGCAACCCCCAUACCCACUCCAUGACCACCCACACUCCUUUCCACCAUACCUUGUACCUUUUACCUCCCUCACAAGCCAUCCCCACGUUUUUGAGAGCUGGAUAAUCAUCCUCUCUCCUCAUUUUCUCUCAUUUGCUCUCAUUUCACAAGAAGAUCAAACUCUUUUCUCUCUCACUUUCUCUCUCUAGAAAUUCAAGAUUCAAGGGCUGAUCUUGAGUCUUUCCUCCACAUUUGGUAAGCAUAAUCCAUUCUCUUUAUGAUUAUCUCAAUUAUUUCCACUCAAAUCAUGGAUAUCUUACACAAACUCCAAUAUAUUUGUGUUAGAGCUUCGAAUCUUCAAGUGAUUCUUCAAGUGUUCUUGGGUUGAACACUUCUCUUCUUCAACACUUACCUACUGAAAACACUUAAGGUGAGUUCAUACCCCUACAUUUUCACGUUUUCUCAAGUUUUUAGGGGGGGAAUACAAGUUAAAAUACUUAGAACAUAACUACAUUUUUCUAACAGCUUUCAUCAGAAAAGUUUCACUCCAUUCACGGACUGUUUUGGACAUCUUAAAUAUUUUUGUUUUCAAAACUGUUUUAGGUGCAUGUAGUUCCACUUCUUAGCUUUAAAAUGACUACUUGCACAUCUCCAUACGAUUUUUCUACAAUUUAUGGUGAUUUUUACAAAACUGCCUAUCAUUUCAAACAUCAAUCCGGACCAGUCUGUGAUUAUGGACUUUUUCACCCAAGUUAGAGGUCAUUAAAAAUUAUAAUAAAAAUUAUGAACAAACUAGACUCAUUUUCCAAACUCUCAGAAGUUACAGAACCUGAUUUGGACAUUUUAUGAUUUUUCUACAAUUUUUCCAAUAACAGUUACAGAAAAUGUUAUUAACAGAAAAACACAAUAAAUUUCAUUUCACCUUGUAACAUGUUGAGCAAGGUAUACAUCGUUAUGUGAUUAUGUGUAGUUGCAAUAUAUGACAAAUUUUGUAUUCUUACAUAGACAUACAUCAGAAAACAAAUGGAUUUACACCUUCACAAGUAUGACAAAUAUAUAUAUAUAUAUAUAUAUAUACAUAUAUAUAUAUAUAUACGAUACUACGAGGCUAUAUCCAUUAAAAUAUAAAUAUUGAUAAAUUAUGACAAGUAAGGCCUAUGCUCAUUUCCCACGAAAUCAAUCGAUAAACUAUAAUAGGUAUAGUUUAGGGUUAUUCAUAUAACAAACACAAUAUUAAAGGUCUUACACUUACAUAAGAGUUAUUGCCGCUAUGGACGAUUAAGAUAAUCUAUAAUAAGUAUAGUUAAGCCAUUAUACCCCCACAAACGAACUCGUUAGUUAUAAUCGGUAUAGUUAUGGUAAAUACAUAUUACAAACAAAGUAAUAAACUAUAAUAGGUAUAGUUUAUGUUUCAUCUACCCUAGGAACUUAAUUACAAGAAAGGAAUUCACCAUCACUUUCGAUAAGCUAUUCAUAUGCAUAGUUCAGGUUCACUAAUCUCUAUUAUUCCCCGGUGAACUAUGAUAUGUAUAGGUUAUAUUCACAUUAACACAUCAUAUAGGUUAUAUUCACAUCACUUUCGAUAAGCUAUUCAUAUGCAUAGUUCAGGUUCACUAAUCUCUAUUAUUCCCCGGUGAACUAUGAUAUGUAUAGGUUAUAUUCACAUUAACACAUCAUAUAGGUUAUAUUCACAUCACUUUCGAUAAGCUAUUCAUAUGCAUAGUUCAGGUUCACUAAUCUCUAUUAUUCCCCGGUGAACUAUGAUAUGUAUAGGUUAUAUUCACAUUAACACAUCAUAUAGGUUAUAUUCACAUCACUUUCGAUAAGCUAUUCAUAUGCAUAGUUCAGGUUCACUAAUCUCUAUUAUUCCCCGGUGAACUAUGAUAUGUAUAGGUUAUAUUCACAUUAACACAUCGUAUAGGUUACACUCACCAUCACCAUCACUUUUGAUAAGCUAUUCAUAUGCAUAGUUCAGGUUCCCUAAUCCCUAUUACUCCCCGGUGAACUAUGAUAUGUAUAGGUUAUAAUCACAAUAGAUUUUCAUAUGGUUAGACUUCAACUAUAAUCGUUGAGCGUAUAUGCUUGAGUCAUACAAGAAUUUAGUCUGGAUUGGCUUGGAAUUGGUGGUGCCCGCCUCAUCUCCUGUUCCUUGUUUGGUUGUGGACCUAGGGCGGACCCAUUAUAUUCGACGUUUUAUCUAACCUAAAUCUUAUAUAACUUAUAUAUGCUGGACAAAUAUAGGGGAAAUCUACGGGUAAAUCUAGAAUACAUCAACGCAUCAUAGAGGAUUAUUCUGUAUACCCUUAAUUAAGAAAAUAUUGGAUUUUCUGGAGAUCAAACUCUAUCGAUUUUAAAAGAGGAAAACGGUUUCUACUCCAAACAAAACUCUUAUGAACUCACCAACUUAAUUGUUGACACUUUUCAAAACUACUUGUAUUCUCAGGAAAUCAGUGAAACAGGAAAACUUCAGCGCUUUGAGGAUGGGACGUUAAACCGUCAACAAUUUAUUUUUGUCAUCAUAAUGUAAUUGAUUUUGAAACAUGUAAACAUAUACUUUGGUGUAACUUUUUCAAUUAUAUUUAUGAUGGUUGUAUUUACUUUGAGCACUAUUAUACAUAUUGUUGUGAUACUGUACAUGAAGUCCUCCACCCCUGGACGUUUCCGCCAUCCUUGGUUUGGGGGUGUGGCAUAACACCUACGUCUGUUGUUCCUGUAAAGCAGUACGCCGGAAACCUGCCGAAGUGCAACAAAUGCAACUUCCACCAUGUAGGCCCCUGCCGGGAAAUGCAGUGCGCCAACUGCAACAGGAAAGGACACACGGUCCAUUUCUGCAAGGCUCCGGCAAGGCUGAUCAACCAAGUCCUCGGCACUGGUGUGGGUGAGGCUUGCUACGGUUGUGGCGAGGCGGGCCACUUCAAAAGGAACUACCCGAAGGCAGGAAGUGCUGGUGGAUUAGGAAGAAUCUUGGCUAUAGGCCACGAGGAAGCGGUUGCCGACCCCACUGUGGUCACUGGUACGGUCGUCCUCGAUAACUCUUAUGCAUACAUGUUAUUUGAUAGUGGAGCAGAGAGGAGUUUUGUGAAUAAAAAAUUUGCUUACUUACUUAAACAAAAAUCACGCACACUUAAGGAACCAUUCACUGUAGAAUGGCUAACGGGAAAACUGAGAGUACUAGUAGCAUAUACAUAGGAUGUACCCUACCUUCAGAUAGCAAUACCUUCCCCAUCGACAUCAUGCCGGUCUCGAUUAAAAGCUGCAACGUCAUCAUCGGCAUGGAUUGGUUGAGUCUUCAUCGUGCAGACGUUAUGUGUUAUGAAAAGGAUGUACGCCUUAAUUUUUCGGCUAACAAAACUCUUAUCAUCUACAGCGACAAACCCGACACGAGCCUUCAUAUCAUUCCAAGUAUUCAAGCUCAGAAGUACUUACGGAAGGAAUAUCGUGCAUUCCUUGCUCACAUUGUCGAUACGAGCCUAGAAACAAAAGACCUGAAGAACAUUCUGAUAGUGCGGAACUUUCCUAACAUUUUUCUAGAAGAACUACCAGGAUUGCCUCCGUAACGACAAGUCGAGUUCAGAAUCAACUUAGUUCCAGGAGCUACCCCAGUAGCCAAAUCUCCCUACCGAUUAGCACUAGCUGAGAUGCAAGAACUAUCCAAUCAACUUAACGAACUACUAAGCAAGGGCUUUAUUUGACCAAGCUUCUCACCCUGGGGAGCACCGGUCUUUAUUUGUUAAGAAGAAAGAUGGAUCAUUCUGUAUGUGUAUGGACUACAGAGAACUCAACAAACUUACGGUCAAAAAUCAUUACCCUCUUCCAUGCAUAGACGAUUUAUUUGAGCAACUGCAAGGGGCAAUUUACUUCUCUAAGAUUGAUCUAAGAUCCGAAUAUCACCAGUUAUGGGUGCUAGAGGAGGAUUUUCCGAAGACAGCCUUCCGAACUUGUUACGGACACUACAAAUUCGUAGUGCUGCCAUUUGGAUUAACCAACGCGCCUGCAGUGCUUAUGUGGAUCAGUUCGUCAUUGUUUUCAUUGAUGACAUACUGAUCUACUCUCGAAGUAAGGAGGAGCAUAACGAUCAUCUGAGACAAGUCUUAGGAACAUUACGAGUAGAGAAACUCUAUACGAAGUUCUCUAAAUGUGAAUUUUGAAUCCGAAGAGUUGAAUUCAUAGGACACGUGGUUAGCGAAGAAGGAAUCCACGUGGACCCUUCCAAAAUUAAAACCAUUGAGAACUAGUCAGCACCGAAGACGCCUACAAAAAUUCGUCAAUUUCUAGGUCUCGCUGGCUACUAUCGCAGAUUCAUUCAGAACUUCUCACAGAUUGCAAAACCACUUACAACACUGACCCAGAUGGGUGUGGCCUUUGACUGGGAAGAGAAACAAGAGAAGGCGUUCGAAACAUUGAAGCGAUCCUUAUGCACCACGUCGAUACUAUCCCUCCCAGAAGGGAUAGAAGACUUCGUAGUCUAUUGUGAUGCAUCCAAUCAAGGGCUCAGUUGUGUCCUCAUGCAACAAGGAAAGGUCAUCGCCUAUGCCUCGAGAUAGCUGAAGACACACGAGGUCAACUACACCACACACGAUCUUGAGCUAGGAGCAGUUGUGUUUACUCUAAAGCUCUAGAGACACUAUCUAUAUGGUACGAACAGCACUAUCUUUAUAGACCACAAAAUCCUACAACACAUAUUUAACCAGAAGGAGCUUAACAUGAGGCAACGAUGGUGGGUUGAGCUACUCAAUGACUACAAAUGUGAAAUUCGUUAUCAUCCGGGUAAAGCCAACAUAGUAGCUGACGCCCUAAGUCGGAAGGAAUAUUUUGGUCGAAGAGUCAAAGAAUUGACCAUAACUAUCCAUUCACACCUAUCCACACAAAUCAAAGAGGCUCAACUCGAAGCCUUGAAACCUGAAAAUGUAGCAAGUGAACCCCUUAGAGGAAUGGAUAAAAACUUAGAAGUCAACGGUGGCAGAGCCUUCUACCUCAUGGACAUGAUCUGGACACCGAAGCAUAGUGACUUCAGAGACUUAGUCAUGACCGAGGCGUACAACACUCGAUAUUCCGUUCAGCGAGGUUCAUAUAAGAUGUAUUUGAAUCUUAAAAAGUUAUACUGGUGGCCUAACAUGAAAACAGAGAUUGCUACCUUUGUGAGUAAAUGCCUUACUUACGCAAAGGUCAAGGUUGAAUACCAGAAACCAUCAGGUUUACUACAACAACCGGAGAUACAAGAGUGGAAAUGGGAGCGGAUUACUAUGGACUUCAUAACCAAGUUACCCAAGACAACAGGUGGACUUGAUACUAUUUGGGUCAUCGUCGAUAGAUUGACCAAAUCCGCACACUUCCCACCUAUCAAAGAAACUGACAAGAUGGAGAAGCUU
This 16784-nucleotide long non-coding RNA is filed under the name Lactuca sativa (garden lettuce). RNAcentral describes it as "long non-coding RNA (LSAT_LNC010152)". Lineage: Eukaryota; Viridiplantae; Streptophyta; Magnoliopsida; Asterales; Asteraceae. The record is from RNAcentral.